Beta vulgaris subsp. vulgaris (sugar beet) is the source of this 2929-nucleotide long non-coding RNA. RefSeq lists it as uncharacterized. NCBI's taxonomy places the organism in Eukaryota, Viridiplantae, Streptophyta, Magnoliopsida, Caryophyllales, Amaranthaceae. The transcript has 5 exons. The record is from RefSeq and is a predicted model, not a curated record.
GGGAACAGCUUGUUUAUUAUUUUAUAUUAAAAAUAUAUUUAUAUUAAAAAUAUAUUUUAUAUUAAAAAAAGUAUUUAUAUUAAAAAAUUAUUUAUAUAUAUUAAAAAUUAUUUAUAUAUAUUAAAAAUUAUAUUAAGUAUUUCUUUUAAAUUAUUAACGAAGGUAUAUAAUAGAAGAAAAAUAAAAAGAAAAGGUAAAAACAAUUAAAAAGAAAAAGAAAACAAAAAAUAGAGAAGAGUAAGGAGUAAGUGGCGAGUAACCCUAGUCUGCUACAUCCUACAAUCAUCUUUCUCACUCCCUUCUCAGUUCUCACUCCCUUCUCUGCGGCGCGGCGCCAUUGAUAACCCUUGAAGGCUCGGCUAUGACGGCCGACGACACUAGUCCACCACUACUACGAGCGGCGGUGUAGAAAAAAGCACCAAAAAAAGGGGAAAAAGCACCUGAAGAAGAGAAGGUGUGAGAGCACCUGGACAGAAAUACGGAAUCACAAAACACUUAAUAAGUUACCCAUAUCUACAAAAUGCAUCUAUUUUUUUAUGUGGUCGCUGUUUUUAUUGAUUUUUUUUUGUUAUGUUAUUGUUAGAUAUGUCUAGUAGUACACAAUAAAUAUCAUCAACACCUCAUGGCUUAACUACUUCUCCAUUCAUAGUAGAAGAGUUUUAUGUCAAUGACGAUGAUCGUGUGCCAUAUGUGAAUUUGGAAAAUAAGGAAGAAGAAAGUGAACUACCCCUUUCAAAUGCAAUUGGAAAUGAGUCGGAGCCUCAAAAUGAAACUCAACCAUCCAAGAGAAAGAGAGCAAAAGUAUCUGAGAUUUGGAAAGACAUGGAAUCGGUUAAAAAUAUGAAAACCAAGUGUAAGCAUUGUCAUCAAGUGUUAAGUGCUUCAGGUAUAACUACUCACUUAAAGUACCAUCUUGAAAGUUGUUUGAAAAAAAAAAUGAAUCAAAGACAACAAAAUAUGCAUAAUUUUUUGCCUACGAAUCUCAAUGACGGUGAUCCUAGUUUUAAGUUUUUUAGCGCUUUACAUGAUGGAAAGUUUGAUAUGAUGGUAAUGAGGGAAGGGAAUGCACAUUGGAUUUUGAUGCAUGAACAUGCUUUUUCCAUUGUUGAAGAAGAAGGGUUUAAUUUAAUGUUAAAAAGGGGAAUUCCACAAUGGACUAGUGUGUCACGUCACACUAUAAGAACCGAUUCUUUUAAAGUUUUAUGAGGUGGAAAAAAAGAAAUUGAAGAAUUUGCUAAAAAGUGUGGAGAAAAUUUCUCUGACUACUGAUUUAUGGCGUUCGAAACCUCAAAAAAUUGAGUAUAUGGUUCUUACAGCUCACUUUGUUGAAAAUUUUUGAAGUUGCAAAAGCGAGUUCUCAACUUUUUCCACAUUCCUCCUCCUCGAAAAGGCAAGGACAUAGCCAAUUGUCUUUUUAAAUGUCUAAAGGAGUGGGAUAUUGAGAGCAAAGUUUUCACGGUUUCGGUGGAUAAUGUUUCGGCAAAUGAUUCUUGCAUAAGUAUUAUGAAAGAUACUUUCUCACUAACAAAGAGGUUGAUUUGUGGUUGGAAAUUGUUCCACGUCCGUUGUUGUGCACACAUUUUGAACAUUAUGGUUCAACAUGGCCUUAAGCAAGUUAAAAUCAUUGUUAAAAAUGUGCAUGACACUGUUGAUUAUCUUAAUGGAAGUGAACAUCGUUUAAAGAAGUUUGCUGAGAUUGUCCAACAAUUCAACUUGAAAGAAAGAAGAUUGAUUCUUGAAUGCAAGACAAGAUGGAAUUCAACUUUUGAUGUGUUAGUUUGUGCUCUCGAGUUUAAAGAGGUAUUUUCUAGACUUGCUUUAGAAGAUAGUGAUUAUGUUUUUUGUGCAAGUGUUGAUGAUUGGGAUAAAAUUGAGAAAUUGGUUGAGAUCUUGGAAGUAUUUUAUGAAGCUACUAUGAUUAUUCCGGGAUUGGAGUACCCAACUUCUAAUUUGUUUCUUGGGGAGGUUUAUAGAGUCAAAAGGAUGUUGGAUAGUAAGUGUGAUUCUAGUGAUGUCUUUGUCAAAGAAAUGGUGAAAAACAUGAAAGAAAGGUUUGAUAAGUAUUGGGGUGAAUGUAAUUUGUUGAUGUCUAUAGCUGUUGUGUUGGACCCUCAAAUUAUAUUGCAAAGUCUUGAAAUAGUUUUCCCAACAAUGUUUUCGGCCGAUGUUGCUAGGGAGAACAUUCAUAUAGUUAAAUCAACUUUGUAAGUAUGAGCUUUAUGAUGAAUAUGUUCAUUUGUAUUCUUCUUCAACUACUCCUCAAUGUGGAAGUACAACUAGUGCUAGUGAUGGUGUUGGUGUUAGUAUUGGUGGUGGAAAGAGGAAAACAGGAAUGUUUGAGCUAAUACAAGUUGCAAGGUCUCAAGACAUACCCGAGGUUCGGAAAUCAGAAAUUGAGUCAUAUCUUGAGCAAUUGUGCUUUGUUGCGGAGUUUGAGGAUCAUGGUGUUUCGUAUGACAUCUUGGGAUGGUAGAAAGAUAGAACUAGCGAAUUUCCUAUUUCAUCUAGAUUGGCAGCUGAUAUUUUGGCCGUUCCCAUUACUACCGUAGCAUCUGAGGCUACAUUUAGUGCCGGUAGUUGAGUGAUUGACUUUUAUAGGUCUUCCUUGAGUCCUGAAACCGUACAAAUGUUUAUUUGCACCGGUGAUUGGUGUAGAUCACUUCAUGGGGUGAAGAGAAAAAAUAAGGACAAGGCGGAACAACCUAAGGAAAUUAUUAUUCCUAUCGAAUAGCAUGGAGCGGGCAUUGGAGGCUUUGGAGCAUAUGGCAACUUACAAGAAUAACAUAUUGUAUUUGUGUUGGUUGUUAUAUUUUUGUUGUUGAACUUUUGUAUUGUUGUGAAACUUUUGUAUUGUUUGUAAUAUGCGAAACUUUUGUAUCGUUUUAUUGGAAUCGUCAAAGAUGAUAGAAUCAUUGACUCGCUUUAUACA